Molecule: unclassified non-coding RNA, 1462 nt
Filed under: Hevea brasiliensis (rubber tree)
Lineage: Eukaryota; Viridiplantae; Streptophyta; Magnoliopsida; Malpighiales; Euphorbiaceae
Source: RNAcentral
GGAAUUACUUUUUAUGGAUUAAAAAAAAUAUUGCAAAAAAGAUGCCCACCCAGAACAAGACUGCCCUGGGUAGGAAGUUUUAUGGGCAGAAUUUGAUUCCAAACCCCUAAUUCACACUGGUGAUGUUAUUGCAAAAUUGGCCGCACUUUGAAACUCGAUUCCCUUCAAAUACCUUUUCAUUCCGGACUCAUGAUGCAAAUUCCAUUACAUGACAGCACCCUCGACUAAAAGUCCACAGAUUACGGCCGUAAAAUAGCUUCCGAUAAGCACACCGGUUCUCUAGUUUCACACAAGCCUAACAAUGCACCAAUACUCGCAAAGAAACAAGAUACUGGGCAUCCAUGCUUAACUAAAGAGCAAUGCCAACAGACACGACAAAAGAUGAAAGAAGCCAGGAACCAUGUGCAAGAUCUAGCCUUGAGGCAAAUAAAAAACUCUCUGGAAGUUGUCAAGGGCACAUCACAGAGAUCUUGGAGAAUUCCAGCAGAUUUUGGUUAUCAGCAGCAAGGAUAUCAAUUACCGUAAAUAUGAUCAAUAUAUGGCUAUGACACAGAGUGAGGGCAGGGUAAACAUCGGAUUUAAAAUGUACAUACUGCUAAAACAGAUCACAUUGAUAACCAGUAGGCAAUUGAUUGGAAGGAAAGCCCAGCCACAACCGAACUCUCCCCCGAGAAUCCAAUUAUUAUUUACAUUUCAAGUCCCCACAAGUUCAAAGCAGUAAAUGAAACCAAGGAAGACUAAAGUCUAUUAACUCUUCAGCGCUAACAUAAGCCAACAAGGUUCAUUUACUAUUAAGCCACAUACUCCACAUUUGCUACUUUAAACCACCCGGUAAUUACUUCAUUCAAAUGCCCACUGGUUCUCCCGACGAACCUCUUCCUCCUCCUCAGGGGUAAAGUCAUUCUUGAUGUUAAAUGUCUUCCUGAUCUCCUCAGGGGUCUUUCCCUUGAUAAUGUCUGCAACAGUCUGACAUGUCAGGUCCAGCAGGCCCUUGAUGUUCAAAUAGUUGGCAGCUAGAAUGAGAUCGAAGAGUGUGGCCUGGUCUACUUUCACGAACUCAGCGUCCCAGUCCUUGAGCCCAUCAUCAGCGCUGCUGCUGCGAUCAUCAGACUUGGGAGUCUCGACGUGCUUCUUGCAGUACUCGAUCACCUUCGCCAGGAUCUUGCUAGUCACAUUUGGCAGCGGGAUGCCGUUAUCAGCGCAAUCGUCCUCGAUCAUGUGUUUGAUCGUUUGAGACUCAAGCGCCACCGCCUCGUCGACCUCGAAGGGCUCACCGUCGCUGCUCUUCAAGGUGAUCUUCUUCGACGACGACAUCGUUUAGAGCGCAAACAAACGAAAAAAAACAAACAAAAAAUGACAAAAAAAAGGACCCUAGAGGCUUAAGCUGUUCGCUAGGCGUAUUUUCACAAACAAACAACAAAGAGCUUGGCGAACCGAAGAGCCGCAACCCCUUCCAUUUAAU